This 492-nucleotide ribosomal RNA is filed under the name uncultured bacterium. Its description in RNAcentral is "partial 16S ribosomal RNA". It matches the Rfam family "Bacterial small subunit ribosomal RNA", at positions 29 to 507 of the family's 1533-position model. The record is from RNAcentral.
AGUGAACGCUGGCGGUAGGCCUAACACAUGCAAGUCGAACGGCAGCACAGUAAGAGCUUGCUCUUACGGGUGGCGAGUGGCGGACGGGUGAGGAAUACAUCGGAAUCUACUUUUUCGUGGGGGAUAACGUAGGGAAACUUACGCUAAUACCGCAUACGACCUACGGGUGAAAGCAGGGGAUCUUCGGACCUUGCGCGAUUGAAUGAGCCGAUGUCGGAUUAGCUAGUUGGCGGGGUAAAGGCCCACCAAGGCGACGAUCCGUAGCUGGUCUGAGAGGAUGAAUCGGCACACUGGGAACUGGAAAAGGGCCAGACCCCCACGGGAGGCAGCAGUGGGGAAUAUUGGACAAUGGGCGCAAGCCUGAUCCAGCCAUACCGCGUGGGUGAAGAAGGCCUUCGGGUUGUAAAGCCCUUUUGUUGGGAAAGAAAAGCAGCAGGUUAAUACCCCGCUGUUCUGACGGUACCCAAAGAAUAAGCACCGGCUAACUUCGUG